GGAGGAGUACCCAAGUGGCUGAAGGGGACGGUUUGCUAAAUCGUUAGGUCGGGGAAACCUGGCGCCGGAGUUCGAAUCUCCGCUCCUCCGCCA
This 93-nucleotide transfer RNA is filed under the name Candidatus Nomurabacteria bacterium. RNAcentral's name for it is "tRNA-Ser". It matches the Rfam family "tRNA". Rfam says of the family: Transfer RNA (tRNA) molecules are approximately 80 nucleotides in length. The record is from RNAcentral. Lineage: Bacteria; Candidatus Nomuraibacteriota.